AGUCUACUUGUAAUAGAAGUUUGGAGGGAAUUCAUUUACAGUAGAGGCUUGAAUGGAAUUUGCUUACAGUAGAUGUCCGGGAUAGACAGCCCGCUGUAGGAGUUCAGAGUAGACCGUUCGUAGUAGAAGUUCGGCUCUCGCGGGAGCUCGAUAGGGAUCCGAAAGAUGAUCGACCGUCGUGGAAACUUGGAUGGAGUCUAGUUACCAUAGAAAUCUCGCUGUCGGGGAAGCUCGGAUGCAGACGAAGUCCGGAAGAAGUUCGAAAAAUAGUUGGUUGCUGUAGAAGGUUGGCUAAUAGUGGGGCCCAGAGGGCCUGUGGAGUGGCCCAAUGGAUGAGUGCAGAAGUUCAUUGUCGGAGAAGUCCGGACGGUCGAGGGGGUUCGGAGAGAUGCCACAC
Molecule: long non-coding RNA, 397 nt
Filed under: Elaeis guineensis (African oil palm)
Lineage: Eukaryota; Viridiplantae; Streptophyta; Magnoliopsida; Arecales; Arecaceae
Description: long non-coding RNA (EGUI_LNC070743)
Source: RNAcentral